Molecule: ribosomal RNA, 1361 nt
Filed under: uncultured bacterium
Lineage: Bacteria
Description: bacterial SSU rRNA
Rfam family: Bacterial small subunit ribosomal RNA
Source: RNAcentral
AUUGAACGCUGGCGGCAGGCCUAACACAUGCAAGUCGAGCGGUAGCACAGAGAGCUUGCUCUCGGGUGACGAGCGGCGGACGGGUGAGUAAUGUCUGGGAAACUGCCUGAUGGAGGGGGAUAACUACUGGAAACGGUAGCUAAUACCGCAUAACGUCGCAAGACCAAAGUGGGGGACCUUCGGGCCUCAUGCCAUCAGAUGUGCCCAGAUGGGAUUAGCUAGUAGGUGGGGUAACGGCUCACCUAGGCGACGAUCCCUAGCUGGUCUGAGAGGAUGACCAGCCACACUGGAACUGAGACACGGUCCAGACUCCUACGGGAGGCAGCAGUGGGGAAUAUUGCACAAUGGGCGCAAGCCUGAUGCAGCCAUGCCGCGUGUGUGAAGAAGGCCUUCGGGUUGUAAAGCACUUUCAGCGGGGAGGAAGGCGGUGAGGUUAAUAACCUCAUCGAUUGACGUUACCCGCAGAAGAAGCACCGGCUAACUCCGUGCCAGCAGCCGCGGUAAUACGGAGGGUGCAAGCGUUAAUCGGAAUUACUGGGCGUAAAGCGCACGCAGGCGGUCUGUCAAGUCGGAUGUGAAAUCCCCGGGCUCAACCUGGGAACUGCAUUCGAAACUGGCAGGCUAGAGUCUUGUAGAGGGGGGUAGAAUUCCAGGUGUAGCGGUGAAAUGCGUAGAGAUCUGGAGGAAUACCGGUGGCGAAGGCGGCCCCCUGGACAAAGACUGACGCUCAGGUGCGAAAGCGUGGGGAGCAAACAGGAUUAGAUACCCUGGUAGUCCACGCCGUAAACGAUGUCGAUUUGGAGGUUGUGCCCUUGAGGCGUGGCUUCCGGAGCUAACGCGUUAAAUCGACCGCCUGGGGAGUACGGCCGCAAGGUUAAAACUCAAAUGAAUUGACGGGGGCCCGCACAAGCGGUGGAGCAUGUGGUUUAAUUCGAUGCAACGCGAAGAACCUUACCUGGUCUUGACAUCCACAGAACUUUCCAGAGAUGGAUUGGUGCCUUCGGGAACUGUGAGACAGGUGCUGCAUGGCUGUCGUCAGCUCGUGUUGUGAAAUGUUGGGUUAAGUCCCGCAACGAGCGCAACCCUUAUCCUUUGUUGCCAGCGGUUAGGCCGGGAACUCAAAGGAGACUGCCAGUGAUAAACUGGAGGAAGGUGGGGAUGACGUCAAGUCAUCAUGGCCCUUACGACCAGGGCUACACACGUGCUACAAUGGCAUAUACAAAGAGAAGCGACCUCGCGAGAGCAAGCGGACCUCAUAAAGUAUGUCGUAGUCCGGAUUGGAGUCUGCAACUCGACUCCAUGAAGUCGGAAUCGCUAGUAAUCGUGGAUCAGAAUGCUACGGUGAAUACGUUCCCGGGCCU